GAUGAACGCUAGCGGGAGGCCUAACACAUGCAAGCCGAGUGGGAUUUGUUGGUUAGCUUGCUAACUAACAAUGAGAGCGGCGUACGGGUGCGUAGCACGUGUGCAACCUGCCUUUAUCUGGGGGAUAGCCUUUCGAAAGGAAGAUUAAUACCCCAUAACAUAUUGAUUGGCAUCAGUUAAUAUUGAAAGCUCCGGCGGAUAGAGAUGGGCACGCGUAAGAUUAGCUAGUUGGUGAGGUAACGGCUCACCAAGGCUGCGAUCUUUAGGGGGCCUGAGAGGGUGAUCCCCCACACUGGUACUGAGACACGGACCAGACUCCUACGGGAGGCAGCAGUGAGGAAUAUUGGACAAUGGGUGAGAGCCUGAUCCAGCCAUCCCGCGUGAAGGACUAAGGACCUAUGGUUUGUAAACUUCUUUUAUACAGGGAUAAACCUACUCUCGUGAGGGUAGCUGAAGGUACUGUAUGAAUAAGCACCGGCUAACUCCGUG
Molecule: ribosomal RNA, 489 nt
Filed under: uncultured bacterium
Lineage: Bacteria
Description: partial 16S ribosomal RNA
Rfam family: Bacterial small subunit ribosomal RNA
Source: RNAcentral